This 429-nucleotide ribosomal RNA is filed under the name uncultured eukaryote. Its description in RNAcentral is "SSU rRNA". It matches the Rfam family "Eukaryotic small subunit ribosomal RNA", at positions 592 to 1018 of the family's 1831-position model. The record is from RNAcentral.
CAAUAGCGUAUAUUAAAGUUGUUGCAGUUAAAAAGCUCGUAGUUGGAUUUCUGAUUGAGACAUCAGGUCGGGUCCGAGAGGAUCAUGUACUUUGAUUUGUUUUGAUCAUCCUUGGGGAGAGCAAUUCUGGCAUUAAGUUGUCGGGGUUGGGAUCCUCAUCGUUUACUGUGAAAAAAUUAGAGUGUUCAAAGCAGGCCUCGGCCUCUGAAUACAUUAGCAUGGAAUAAUAAGAUAGGACUUUGGUGGUCUAUUUUGUUGGUUUGCACGCCAAAGUAAUGAUUAAUAGGGAUAGUUGGGGGUAUUCGUAUUCAAUUGUCAGAGGUGAAAUUCUUGGAUUUAUGGAAGACGAACUACUGCGAAAGCAUUUACCAAGGAUGUUUUCAUUAAUCAAGAACGAAAGUUAGGGGAUCGAAGACGAUUAGAUACCAU